CCACUGCUGGUCAUUGGACCUGGUUCAUGGUGCCGUCGAGCCUGCUUUUCUAGCCACGAGUGUUGUCGGUCGAGGGGAGAAGCUCCCUUGCUUUGGGGAAAAGAGAAAAGGGAGUUCUCCUCUUCCGUUAAAGAAAAUCAUGGGAAGAAAAUAUGAAGAAGAAGAGAGAAAAAGAAAAAGAAGAAGAAGAAGAAGAAGAAGAAAAUAAGAA
This 211-nucleotide long non-coding RNA is filed under the name Elaeis guineensis (African oil palm). RNAcentral's name for it is "long non-coding RNA (EGUI_LNC012035)". The record is from RNAcentral. Lineage: Eukaryota; Viridiplantae; Streptophyta; Magnoliopsida; Arecales; Arecaceae.